AAGGAGAAUUACCUACUGUUUAAUUUUGAGGGUUCGUUUUUACGAAUACUCAAAAUUAGCACUUUAAGCAACAGAAUAAACUGAACGCAUGUGAAGUUUGUUUGUUGGCGCUGUGCGUUAGCACUUUAAGCAACGGGAUUUAUCCGUUGGCGCUGUGCGUUAGCACUUUAAGCAACGGAAUUUAUUCGUUGGCGACGUGCUUUAGCACUUUGAAAACUGCAUAUAUAUUUAGUGAUAUGACAUCUAAUUUGUAAUAUAUAAAGCUGAUAACUUUUAAAAAUUAUCAAGUUGAUAGACUUUAAUCUAUCAAACCUUUUUAAC
This 321-nucleotide unclassified non-coding RNA is filed under the name Clostridioides difficile. Its description in RNAcentral is "16S-23S ribosomal RNA intergenic spacer". The record is from RNAcentral. Lineage: Bacteria; Bacillati; Bacillota; Clostridia; Peptostreptococcales; Peptostreptococcaceae.